Molecule: ribosomal RNA, 504 nt
Filed under: uncultured bacterium
Lineage: Bacteria
Description: partial 16S ribosomal RNA
Rfam family: Bacterial small subunit ribosomal RNA
Source: RNAcentral
AUUGAACGCUGGCGGCAGGCCUAACACAUGCAAGUCGGACGGUAGCACAGAGAGCUUGCUCUCGGGUGACGAGUGGCGGACGGGUGAGUAAUGUCUGGGGAUCUGCCCGAUAGAGGGGGAUAACCACUGGAAACGGUGGCUAAUACCGCAUAACGUCGCAAGACCAAGGAGGGGGACCUUCGGGCCUCUCACUAUCGGAUGAACCCAGAUGGGAUUAGCUAGUAGGCGGGGUAACGGCCCACCUAGGCGACGAUCCCUAGCUGGUCUGAGAGGAUGACCAGCCACACUGGAACUGAGACACGGUCCAGGCUCCUACGGGAGGCAGCAGUGGGGAAUAUUGCACAAUGGGCGCAAGCCUGAUGCAGCCAUGCCGCGUGUAUGAAGAAGGCCUUCGGGUUGUAAAGUACUUUCAGCGGGGAGGAAGGCUAUGUGGUUAAUAACCGCAUUGAUUGACGUUACCCGCAGAAGAAGCACCGGCUAACUCCGUGCCAGCAGCCGCGGUAA